Molecule: ribosomal RNA, 446 nt
Filed under: Mitrella bicincta
Lineage: Eukaryota; Metazoa; Mollusca; Gastropoda; Neogastropoda; Columbellidae
Description: partial 12S ribosomal RNA
Rfam family: Microsporidia small subunit ribosomal RNA (bases 70-446)
Source: RNAcentral
UUUUUAAAGCUUCAAACUGGGAUUAGAUACCCCACUAUUCAUAAAUUGUAAAUAAAUGAAAAUUUACCAGAGUACUAUGAAUAUAUAAAAAUUUAAAACUCAAAGGGCUUGGCGGUGUUUUAGACCAAUUAGGGGAACCUGUCUCGUAAUCGACAGUCCACGAUAUACCUAACCUUUUUUGGUAAACAGUUUGUAUACCGUCGUCGUCAGGUAACUUUUAAAAAUAAAGAAGUUGGCAGAAAUAAUAGUUGUUGAUUAAGACGUCAGAUCAAGGUGCAGCCUAUAAAAAGGAGAGGAUGGGUUACAAUUAUAAAAUAAUAAUUACGGAUAGUUUAAUGAAAAAAGCUUAAAGGAGGACUUAAAAGUAAUGUUGUAAUAUAUAAAUAAUUUGAAUUAGGCUCUGAAACGUGCACACACCGCCCGUCACCCUCUGCAGUCAAAAAAAA